Molecule: ribosomal RNA, 497 nt
Filed under: uncultured bacterium
Lineage: Bacteria
Description: partial 16S ribosomal RNA
Rfam family: Bacterial small subunit ribosomal RNA
Source: RNAcentral
GAUGAACGCUGGCGGCGUGCCUAAUACAUGCAAGUAGAACGCUGAAGGAAGGAGCUUGCUCUUUCCGGAUGAGUUGCGAACGGGUGAGUAACGCGUAGGUAACCUGCCUGGUAGCGGGGGAUAACUAUUGGAAACGAUAGCUAAUACCGCAUAACAGUAGAUGUUGCAUGAUAUCUACUUAAAAGGUGCAAUUGCACCACUACCAGAUGGACCUGCGUUGUAUUAGCUAGUUGGUGAGGUAACGGCUCACCAAGGCGACGAUACAUAGCCGACCUGAGAGGGUGAUCGGCCACACUGGGACUGAGACACGGCCCAGACUCCUACGGGAGGCAGCAGUAGGGAAUCUUCGGCAAUGGACGGAAGUCUGGCCGAGCAACGCCGCGUGAGUGAAGAAGGUUUUCCGAUCGUAAAGCUCUGUUGUAAGAGAAGAACGAGUGUGAGAGUGGAAAGUUCACACUGUGACGGUAUCUUACCAGAAAGGGACGGCUAACUACGUG